RNAcentral lists this ribosomal RNA (490 nucleotides) under uncultured bacterium. Its description in RNAcentral is "partial 16S ribosomal RNA". It matches the Rfam family "Bacterial small subunit ribosomal RNA", at positions 30 to 507 of the family's 1533-position model. The record is from RNAcentral.
AUUGAACGCUGGCGGCAUGCCUUACACAUGCAAGUCGAACGGCAGCAUGAUCUAGCUUGCUAGAUUGAUGGCGAGUGGCGAACGGGUGAGUAAUACAUCGGAACGUUCCCUGUAGUGUGGGAUAACUAGUCGAAAGAUUAGCUAAUACCGCAUACGACCUGAGGGUGAAUGUGGGGGACCGCAAGGCCUCAUGCUAUAGGAUCGGCCGAUGUCUGAUUAGCUAGUUUGUGAGGUAAAGGCUCACAAAGGCGACGAUCAGUAGCUGGUCUGAGAGGACGAUCAGAAAAACGGGGACUGAGACAAGGCCAAGAAUACUACGGGAGGCAGAAGUGGGGAAUUUUGGACAAUGGGAGAAAGCAUGAUAAAGAAAUGAAGAGUGUGUGAAGAAGGCAUUAGGGUUGUAAAGCACUUUUGUCCGGAAAGAAAUGGCUCUGGUUAAUAACUGGGGUAGAUGACGGUAAAGGAAGAAUAAGGACCGGAUAACUACGUG